AAAAUUCCAAGCUCUGUAAUGGGAUGGGAUCCGAAGCCCCAUUGAGGGAUAAUACAUUGAGAGCUCUCCCAUCCAACUCCUAUUCCGACACGUCCUCGUCGUGCAGAGUGGUAACAUGUGUCACCACAUAUCCAAGCUUGGGUACACGGGCUUGACCCAACCCCUUGGGCGGAUGGUGGCAUAUGGCGAACCAGGNNNNN
Non-coding RNA from Anopheles quadriannulatus, 200 nucleotides. The record is from Rfam. Lineage: Eukaryota; Metazoa; Arthropoda; Insecta; Diptera; Culicidae.